CCUGGUCUCCAGGUGCAGCGACAACAUGGACACUGAAGGAACCAACUAGGGGAUGGGGACUAUUAAAGAAGAUGUCCUGCGUCUGAUCCAGUCUCCUUGCUAAUAUGAGUACUUUACAUGUGUAUUCAGAAUGGACCCUGUAGGAGAUGUAGCUGUUGGGAAAAAAUAGAGACAAAUAAACAGUUGCUACAGAAGGAA
Mastomys coucha (southern multimammate mouse) is the source of this 198-nucleotide long non-coding RNA. RefSeq lists it as uncharacterized. The record is from RefSeq and is a predicted model, not a curated record. NCBI's taxonomy places the organism in Eukaryota, Metazoa, Chordata, Mammalia, Rodentia, Muridae. The transcript has 2 exons.